CAGUAGCCGCGGGAAUACGUAGGGUGCAAGCGUUAAUCGGAAUUACUGGGCGUAAAGCGUGCGCAGGCGGUUAUAUAAGACAGAUGUGAAAUCCCCGGGCUCAACCUGGGAACUGCAUUUGUGACUGUAUAGCUAGAGUACGGCAGAGGGGGAUGGAAUUCCGCGUGUAGCAGUGAAAUGCGUAGAUAUGCGGAGGAACACCGAUGGCGAAGGCAAUCCCCUGGGCCUGUACUGACGCUCAUGCACGAAAGCGUGGGGAGCAAACAGGAUUAGAUACCCCCAGUAGUCCCUGUCUCUUAUA
RNAcentral lists this ribosomal RNA (301 nucleotides) under uncultured bacterium. RNAcentral's name for it is "partial 16S ribosomal RNA". It matches the Rfam family "Bacterial small subunit ribosomal RNA", at positions 509 to 808 of the family's 1533-position model. The record is from RNAcentral.